Molecule: ribosomal RNA, 712 nt
Filed under: Vreelandella lutescens
Lineage: Bacteria; Pseudomonadati; Pseudomonadota; Gammaproteobacteria; Oceanospirillales; Halomonadaceae
Description: bacterial SSU rRNA
Rfam family: Bacterial small subunit ribosomal RNA
Source: RNAcentral
GCUACCAUGCAGUCGAGCGGUAACAGGGGAAGCUUGCUUCCCGCUGACGAGCGGCGGACGGGUGAGUAAUGCAUAGGAAUCUGCCCGAUAGUGGGGGAUAACCUGGGGAAACUCAGGCUAAUACCGCAUACGUCCUACGGGAGAAAGGGGGCUUCGGCUCCCGCUAUUGGAUGAGCCUAUGUCGGAUUAGCUGGUUGGUGAGGUAAUGGCUCACCAAGGCAACGAUCCGUAGCUGGUUUGAGAGGAUGAUCAGCCACAUCGGGACUGAGACACGGCCCGAACUCCUACGGGAGGCAGCAGUGGGGAAUAUUGGACAAUGGGCGCAAGCCUGAUCCAGCCAUGCCGCGUGUGUGAAGAAGGCCUUCGGGUUGUAAAGCACUUUCAGCGAGGAAGAACGCCUGUCGGUUAAUACCCGGCAGGAAAGACAUCACUCGCAGAAGAAGCACCGGCUAACUCCGUGCCAGCAGCCGCGGUAAUACGGAGGGUGCAAGCGUUAAUCGGAAUUACUGGGCGUAAAGCGCGCGUAGGUGGCUUGAUAAGCCGGUUGUGAAAGCCCCGGGCUCAACCUGGGAACGGCAUCCGGAACUGUCAGGCUAGAGUGCAGGAGAGGAAGGUAGAAUUCCCGGUGUAGCGGUGAAAUGCGUAGAGAUCGGGAGGAAUACCAGUGGCGAAGGCGGCCUUCUGGACUGACACUGACACUGAGGUGCGAAAG